This 239-nucleotide ribosomal RNA is filed under the name uncultured Lactobacillus sp. RNAcentral's name for it is "partial 16S ribosomal RNA". It matches the Rfam family "Bacterial small subunit ribosomal RNA", at positions 125 to 356 of the family's 1533-position model. The record is from RNAcentral. Lineage: Bacteria; Bacillati; Bacillota; Bacilli; Lactobacillales; Lactobacillaceae.
CCGUAGCCCAAGAGAUCGGGAUAACACCUGGAAACAGAUGCUAAUACCGGAUAACAAUAGAUGAUGCCUAUCAACUGUUUAAAAGAUGGUUCUGCUAUCACUCUUGGAUGGACCUGCGGUGCAUUAGCUAGUUGGUAGGGUAACGGCCUGCCAAGGCGAUGAUGCAUAGCCGAGUUGAGAGACUGAUCGGCCACAUUGGGACUGAGACACGGCCCAAACUCCUACGGGAGGCAGCAGUG